RNAcentral lists this ribosomal RNA (2908 nucleotides) under Salmonella enterica. Its description in RNAcentral is "23S ribosomal RNA". It matches the Rfam family "Bacterial large subunit ribosomal RNA". The record is from RNAcentral. RNAcentral also lists the same sequence under 1 other name. Lineage: Bacteria; Pseudomonadati; Pseudomonadota; Gammaproteobacteria; Enterobacterales; Enterobacteriaceae.
GGUUAAGCGACUAAGCGUACACGGUGGAUGCCCUGGCAGUCAGAGGCGAUGAAGGGCGUGCUAAUCUGCGAUAAGCGCCGGUAAGGUGAUAUGAACCGUUAUAACCGGCGAUACCCGAAUGGGGAAACCCAGUGUGACUCGUCACACUAUCAUUAACUGAAUCCAUAGGUUAAUGAGGCGAACCGGGGGAACUGAAACAUCUAAGUACCCCGAGGAAAAGAAAUCAACCGAGAUUCCCCCAGUAGCGGCGAGCGAACGGGGAGGAGCCCAGAGCCUGAAUCAGCAUGUGUGUUAGUGGAAGCGUCUGGAAAGGCGCGCGAUACAGGGUGACAGCCCCGUACACAAAAGCGCAUGUGCUGUGAGCUCGAUGAGUAGGGCGGGACACGUGGUAUCCUGUCUGAAUAUGGGGGGACCAUCCUCCAAGGCUAAAUACUCCUGACUGACCGAUAGUGAACCAGUACCGUGAGGGAAAGGCGAAAAGAACCCCGGCGAGGGGAGUGAAAAAGAACCUGAAACCGUGUACGUACAAGCAGUGGGAGCACAGGUUUACCUGUGUGACUGCGUACCUUUUGUAUAAUGGGUCAGCGACUUAUAUUCUGUAGCAAGGUUAACCGUAUAGGGGAGCCGUAGGGAAACCGAGUCUUAACCGGGCGUUAAGUUGCAGGGUAUAGACCCGAAACCCGGUGAUCUAGCCAUGGGCAGGUUGAAGGUUGGGUAACACUAACUGGAGGACCGAACCGACUAAUGUUGAAAAAUUAGCGGAUGACCUGUGGCUGGGGGUGAAAGGCCAAUCAAACCGGGAGAUAGCUGGUUCUCCCCGAAAGCUAUUUAGGUAGCGCCUCGUGAAUUCAUCUCCGGGGGUAGAGCACUGUUUCGGCUAGGGGGCCAUCCCGGCUUACCAACCCGAUGCAAACUGCGAAUACCGGAGAAUGUUAUCACGGGAGACACACGGCGGGUGCUAACGUCCGUCGUGAAGAGGGAAACAACCCAGACCGCCAGCUAAGGUCCCAAAGUCAUGGUUAAGUGGGAAACGAUGUGGGAAGGCCCAGACAGCCAGGAUGUUGGCUUAGAAGCAGCCAUCAUUUAAAGAAAGCGUAAUAGCUCACUGGUCGAGUCGGCCUGCGCGGAAGAUGUAACGGGGCUAAACCAUGCACCGAAGCUGCGGCAGCGACGCUGAUGCGUUGUUGGGUAGGGGAGCGUUCUGUAAGCCUGCGAAGGUGGCCUGUGAGGGUUGCUGGAGGUAUCAGAAGUGCGAAUGCUGACAUAAGUAACGAUAAAGCGGGUGAAAAGCCCGCUCGCCGGAAGACCAAGGGUUCCUGUCCAACGUUAAUCGGGGCAGGGUGAGUCGACCCCUAAGGCGAGGCCGAAAGGCGUAGUCGAUGGGAAACGGGUUAAUAUUCCCGUACUUGGUGUUACUGCGAAGGGGGGACGGAGAAGGCUAUGUUGGCCGGGCGACGGUUGUCCCGGUUUAAGCGUGUAGGUGUGUGUUCCAGGUAAAUCCGGUUCACUUUAACACUGAGGCGUGAUGACGAGGCACUACGGUGCUGAAGCAACAAAUGCCCUGCUUCCAGGAAAAGCCUCUAAGCAUCAGGUAACAUCAAAUCGUACCCCAAACCGACACAGGUGGUCAGGUAGAGAAUACCAAGGCGCUUGAGAGAACUCGGGUGAAGGAACUAGGCAAAAUGGUGCCGUAACUUCGGGAGAAGGCACGCUGACACGUAGGUGAAGUGAUUUACUCAUGGAGCUGAAGUCAGUCGAAGAUACCAGCUGGCUGCAACUGUUUAUUAAAAACACAGCACUGUGCAAACACGAAAGUGGACGUAUACGGUGUGACGCCUGCCCGGUGCCGGAAGGUUAAUUGAUGGGGUCAGCGCAAGCGAAGCUCCUGAUCGAAGCCCCGGUAAACGGCGGCCGUAACUAUAACGGUCCUAAGGUAGCGAAAUUCCUUGUCGGGUAAGUUCCGACCUGCACGAAUGGCGUAAUGAUGGCCAGGCUGUCUCCACCCGAGACUCAGUGAAAUUGAACUCGCUGUGAAGAUGCAGUGUACCCGCGGCAAGACGGAAAGACCCCGUGAACCUUUACUAUAGCUUGACACUGAACAUUGAGCCUUGAUGUGUAGGAUAGGUGGGAGGCUUUGAAGCGUGGACGCCAGUCUGCGUGGAGCCGACCUUGAAAUACCACCCUUUAAUGUUUGAUGUUCUAACGUGGACCCGUGAUCCGGGUUGCGGACAGUGUCUGGUGGGUAGUUUGACUGGGGCGGUCUCCUCCUAAAGAGUAACGGAGGAGCACGAAGGUUGGCUAAUCCUGGUCGGACAUCAGGAGGUUAGUGCAAUGGCAUAAGCCAGCUUGACUGCGAGCGUGACGGCGCGAGCAGGUGCGAAAGCAGGUCAUAGUGAUCCGGUGGUUCUGAAUGGAAGGGCCAUCGCUCAACGGAUAAAAGGUACUCCGGGGAUAACAGGCUGAUACCGCCCAAGAGUUCAUAUCGACGGCGGUGUUUGGCACCUCGAUGUCGGCUCAUCACAUCCUGGGGCUGAAGUAGGUCCCAAGGGUAUGGCUGUUCGCCAUUUAAAGUGGUACGCGAGCUGGGUUUAGAACGUCGUGAGACAGUUCGGUCCCUAUCUGCCGUGGGCGCUGGAGAACUGAGGGGGGCUGCUCCUAGUACGAGAGGACCGGAGUGGACGCAUCACUGGUGUUCGGGUUGUCAUGCCAAUGGCACUGCCCGGUAGCUAAAUGCGGAAGAGAUAAGUGCUGAAAGCAUCUAAGCACGAAACUUGCCCCGAGAUGAGUUCUCCCUGAGACUUAGAGUCUCCUGAAGGAACGUUGAAGACGACGACGUUGAUAGGCCGGGUGUGUAAGCGCAGCGAUGCGUUGAGCUAACCGGUACUAAUGAACCGUGAGGCUUAACCUU